GUAGGUGGCAAGCGUUGUCCGGAAUUAUUGGGCGUAAGGCGCGCGCAGGCGGUUCUUUAAGUCUGAUGUGAAAGCCCACGGGCUCAACCGUGGAGGGUCAUUGGAAACUGGAGAACUUGAGUACAGAAGAGGAAAGCGGAAUUCCACGUGUAGCGGUGAAAUGCGUAGAGAUGUGGAGGAACACCAGUGGCGAAGGCGGCUUUCUGGUCUGUAACUGACGCUGAGGCGCGAAAGCGUGGGGAGCAAACAGGAUUAGAUACCCUGGUAGUCCACGCCGUAAACGAUGAGUGCUAAGUGUUAGGGGGUUUCCGCCCCUUAGUGCUGCAGCUAACGCAUUAAGCACUCCGCCUGGGGAGUACGGCCACAAGGCUG
This 372-nucleotide ribosomal RNA is filed under the name uncultured organism. RNAcentral's name for it is "partial 16S ribosomal RNA". It matches the Rfam family "Bacterial small subunit ribosomal RNA", at positions 527 to 896 of the family's 1533-position model. The record is from RNAcentral.